This 1740-nucleotide long non-coding RNA is filed under the name Marmota monax (woodchuck). The record is from RNAcentral. Lineage: Eukaryota; Metazoa; Chordata; Mammalia; Rodentia; Sciuridae.
CUUUUCCUCUUCUCCCUGUCCUCUUCCCUAACUUAGAGCAGGGAACAAUAUUACCUUGUGUUAUCUGUGCUCCACAGGAAGGAGAUGUCUGCCAAAGAAUCUAGGAAGUAAGUAUCUCCCAAAUUAACAAGUGAAUCCUAACACACCAUCAAGGUACCCUGGGUCCCCCUACCAGAGCACACCUGGUAGAGUUUCUUUAAAAGCCCCCUGUUCCUCCUGAUGGGCAGAAUCACAGCCUCAGGGACAGGAGUCCCCUGUAUUUCUCCUUUGCUAGCAAAGAAAUAAAACUUCUUUUUCCUUUUUCUCUAAACCAUGUCCUCAUUAUUAAAUUGACAUGAACUGGCAUUGGGGACAAGGACUGAGAUUUUGAUUUUAAAUUUGGCACCCCAAGUGGGACCAGGGAACAGUCCUUGCUCUCGCUUUCUUGGGCAGACCUGGCACUCCAAGCAACUGCACUUCUAUGCUGAGGAUGAACAGUGAACUUUUUGAGAGCUCACUGCUGGAAAGUCAGGAGAUGGGCGAGUGUGCCUCAGGUGGAACUAGAAGAGCUAUAUCCCUGGGAGUAAAGGGAGGGACUUAGAAACUCCCAGCAGCUGCCCUUUUUGCUUUGGGGGAACUCCCACUUUCCUUCCCUGAACUUUACAAAUUGCUCCAUCUUGGUCUACUUUGAGAAAAAGGAGACUGAGCCCAGUGAAGUUGCGACACAUUGGCCAUCUGGUAAGCUCCCCUGGUGUGCACAAGGAGACCCAUGAUUCCACAUGUCUGGUUCCCCUUUGAGGGAACAUCUGGUCCCUCUUCAUAGGAACAUCUGUCUGUAGCAUUGCUGAUGUAAAAGUCAUGGUUCAGUAGGAGUUGGGAACUUGGGGGGAUUUCCCCCUAUCUGUUCUAUUUUAAAGGUUUCUGUCAGCCAUGGUUUGGGAAUCCUCUCUGUUUGUAUGUCUCUGUUUUUUGUUUGUAUCUGUUUCUGACCCUUUAAGAUUUGGGCAAUACUGGGUUGAUCCUAUAGAUUGUUUCUUGGGAAAGAUCUUGGCCAAAUGGGCCACCUAAAGAUAUAAACCUGUCUAUAAAAAAGAUGAUGUUUUACUUGUAACAAUCUGGACUUUGGAAUGGUUUUCUGAAUUAUUGUACAAUUUUGUGGUUGUGAGUUGGCCUGUCAGAGGCAGAAUAAGUGAAAGAUUCUGUGAGUACAUAAUAAGGAGUCUAAACAGUCAAAAACUAAGUUGAAUACAAAGAGCUGCUGCCUCUAAUGUGCGAGUAUAGCAGGACACCAAAAGAGGAUUUAAUUUUUUUUAAUCCCUUUAACCCAGUGCUGACAGUCUGAGCACCUGUAAGAACAUCAGCCACAGGAAUGCUUAGCAAUGUCUGGUCGCAAUUGAUAAGGACCAUCAUCUAAAGACAGAGCAAUGCUUGAGGGUGAUGCCAAUGAGCAUAAACUUGGAACUAUAUUUAAACUGCUUGUCCUGCCACAUCAGAGAUCUUCACUCUGAAGACAUCAAUGAGACUGACUGCCUUGCUGUCCAUCCCUGGAUCCUCUCCACCAUUCUCUGACAUCCACCCAUCUACUGGAGUAAACCAUCAGACAACAUCAAUGUCCACUUAUAAGAGAAGUCACGUGGCAUCAGAGGUACUUUGGGGCUCAUGGUGUCCUGGGAUUGUAUGAUGUAUUUGCUGUGUUUAAUUAAUUAAUGUGAAUUGAGUUAACUGUAUCUGAUGCUUGGUGUAACCAAAUAUAUAUGCUUG